This 572-nucleotide long non-coding RNA is filed under the name Rattus norvegicus (Norway rat). RNAcentral's name for it is "long non-coding RNA NONRATT032779". Lineage: Eukaryota; Metazoa; Chordata; Mammalia; Rodentia; Muridae. The record is from RNAcentral.
CAGCUCUUGGAGCUUGGCAGGUUAAUUAGGACAUAUUCCUUCUGACUCUGACAGAACCUCCUGUCUGUACAGCCCACAUUGUUCAUUCAUGAUGACCGUUGAACGCGGGCUCCAGGGUGAUUUCCACAGUCUUCACCCUCAUGUUCAUGUACAUGUAACUUUGUCCUCUGGAGUACGAGUGGCAUCUAUGACUUGCUUCUCAUCAAAGGAAGAUAGCAGAAGUGGUGGAGGUCACUGUGGUGACCACGGACUCUUUCCUGCUGAAUGGACUCCAGAUGCAUUCCAGAGACUCUUCUUGCUAACGUUAGUGAUGUUGAGGGGAAAGAUAUGUGGGCAGCUUCUUGUUUCUUAGAGCAACCUCCAUUUUCCAGAUGAUAGGAAUCAGGGGGUCUGGGGCUUGCAGUUGCAGUAAACCCUUCUAACACCACAAGUAGAUACUUCUGGGAACUGAAACGGCCCCUACUAGUCACCCUGUCCCCCGCCCCAUAGUUUCCAUAAGGUCUGGAAAAUGGUAGGUUUUUUUUUUCUUAUUUCUGCAUCUGUUUUCACAAUAAACUCUCUUAUUAUUUAAA